Molecule: long non-coding RNA, 20598 nt
Organism: Anolis carolinensis (green anole)
Lineage: Eukaryota; Metazoa; Chordata; Lepidosauria; Squamata; Anolidae
Exons: 2
Source: RefSeq, a predicted model, not a curated record
GAGACGCGGGAGGAGAGGAGAAGAGGACGCGCCGCGGAUGGAGGAGCCCCGAGGACGGAGGAGAGAGAGGCCCGGCCACCCCGGACACCCCACGCACACACACACUCUUCCAUGUCUGCCUCUGAUGUAGAGACUUCCACAAGAUGGACUGUCCAGCCACAGGGAGAGCAGGGGAACCUGGAUUCCUCAUGACCCGGCUUACAUCCAAGGAGUGCCAAUUGCCUUGAAGUCAGAUAAAUCAAGUUUGCAAGCCUUUCGUCAUUUAUCCUCUAUUGAUGGCCAGUUAUGCUCACUUUGAGGACGUGGACUUGCUGAUUUGCCCCAGUUAUUUUGGUUUCUGCUGAGCCAACGUUAAGCCGGGCAGCGGGAUGGCAUGAGCCCAUUAUGGAAAGCAUCUUAGGGAGUUCAGUGCCUUUCCGUGUCAGUUUUAUAGCAGAAUCCUGCCACAGCAUUGAAGGCAGCCUGUUUUUUUAAAAAGAGACAACCUUGAAAUGUAUAAAAUGAGAAUAGAUCUCCGUCAUGCGUGCCUAUGUGCCUUGCAGUGACACUAUGAAUUCCGUAGGGUUUUCUAAGGCAAGGAAUACUCAGAGGUAGUUUGGAAAGUUAUGACGGAAAGUUAAAAUUUCACUCUUCAAAUAGGUAUGUACAGAUGUUUAUUUAUUUUUAUUUAUUUAUUUACGGUAUUUAUAUUCCGCCCUUCUCACCCCGAAGGGGACUCAGGGCGGAUCACUAUGCUCACAUAUACAUGGUGAACAUUCAGUGUCAUUAGACAUACAACAUAUAUAGACAGACACAGAGGCAAUUUAACAUUUUCCAGCUUCCGGCUUCAUGAGGGUAUGCUUGAUUCCAGCCAUGGGGAGCUGCCUCUUCACGGUCCACUUGUGACACUGAGUCCUUGAUGGAGUACUUCCUCAUUCUUCUGCACACUGGAGGAAGGUUUUAUGGUGUUGUAAAUUAGAUAAAUUAGCCUCCCCACAUAAAGCGGUACCUAAAUUUCCUACUCGACAGAUGCAACUGUCUUUCGGGCUGCAUAGGUCAACAGUUCAUCAAGUUAGCAAAUGUUGACAGAUGUAAACAGAUGUAAACAUUUCUCUUAUCACUGCCACAGUUCUUAUCACAGUUAGCAGACAGGUCAGCUAUUUCAGGUAUCAUUAGCAACUUUUAAUUACAAUUCAGCAACCAGGAAGUUAGUCAUAUUUUAGAAUUGUGCCUUCAAAAUUUAGCUUUCAUUCAUUCAUCUUUCGUUCAGUUCCUUCAAACCAAAUAUUCAUAUUUCAUCCCGUGACACAGACUGUGAUGGCUGUUUCUGUUACAGGUAAUCCAAUGGAUGAUUUCAUCAAUUUCUUCUAGUUUUUCCAACCCUUAAGCCAUUCCAUCCUAGGGUUGUUGUGUGUUUUUCAGGCUGUAUGGCCAUGUUCCAGAAGCAUUCUCUCCUGACGUUUCACCCACAUUUUUGGCAGGCAUCCUCAGAGGUUGUGAGGUAUAUUCAAACACACAACAACCCUGUGAUUCCAGCCAUGAAAGCCUUCGACAACACAUUUCAUCCUAUUUUUUCAUCACAGCAAAACAAACACCCGGACUAAAAUUUGUAAGCAUUUUCUUGAACCUAUCCCCCAGUAUACUAUUUUCAUAUGCAUUUUUGUUUUGAUACAGUAUGUGAAUUUUUCCCUUGUGCAUCAUUCUUCCCUAGUGCACACAUUGUAGGGUGCUUUUUGCGCUCUUGUUCAUAGAAUCGCAUCUAAGAAGCUUAUGUACCAAAGAAUAACAAAUAUUACAAUUUGCAAUUUGAUGCAGGAAGGGCAACUUGGGUGAUUGGGUUGUUGUAUGUUUUCUGGGCUGCAUGGCCAUGUUCGAGAAGUAUUCUCUCCUGAUGUUUCACCCACAUCUAUGGCAGGCAUCCUCAGAGGUUGUGAGGUAUAUACCAUCUGUUCUCUAAGCUGGCAAUCUGCUACAUCUGCUUCCUUGGUAUCUAUGGCAUGACCUGUCUCUACACACUCUACUGGCUCUUUCAACAACCACUCAAAAAAUACUCCUUUGACUUUGUACUUCUUCACAAUCUCUGAGAAUGUCUGUUGCACCUCAGUGCUAGUUCAUCUUGCUCUUAACACACACCCCACCACAGAAGACUUGAUUUUUACAGUUUAUUGAUAAAGGAUAGCAAAGUUUUAAUAAAAAGCAGUAAUCCAGUUGCAAAGGCAAUCUGCAGAAUAUAUUUCAAAGUCUCUGUAGAAAAUAGUUCAAAGUCUCUAAUAUAGCAAAUCAGUUUGGAAAAACAAGGUAGUGUGAACUCCAAAAUACAAUCCAAACACAAGAUUUAGGCAUUAACAAAAGAAUCUUUUUCAAUGAGCAGAGACAAGGCAGGAAUUAAGCUUCCAAAAUCAACGUUGCUUCGUCUGAAAUCUUUCCCCAAUUCUCCCUAUUUAACCAUGCUUACAGGCUAAGAAAGCAUUCCUCUGACCUUGAGUUCCCACACGUUUACUAGUGAUUCUCACAGAAUGCCUGAAACGAUGAACACUUAACCUUCACCUUGUAUCUCUAUGUAAAUAAGACUCCUCCGACUCGCUGCCAGAGCCACCUGAACUUUGUUGAUAUUCUAAAUCUUGUGAAAGGUCACCCUUAUCACUAACUUAAGCUUCCCUGCUAGCCUGCGGCCUCUCUGACAAUUCAGAGCCUUCAAUAUUUUCUUGGUCAGCCUGCAUUUCUAUUGGAUAAACACAGACGUUUAUUCUAAACAAUGUAAUGAGCUAUAUAAAACACAAUAAUGGUUCAAAACAUAAGUAGUACACAAUAUGUAUAUUAGAGCAUCAAAUACAUAUUACAUUCACAGAAUCAAUGCUCAGUCGUAUAGUAUAUAACCCAAAAGUAUCUAACUCAUUAUUAUAAAUCAAACAAAAUGAUAUAAGUCCUCAGUCCUAAAAGGAUUAGAUUGGCUUAAAGGCAAACCGAUUGAUUCUGUGAAUGUAAACUCCUACUUCCUUUCUCACCCCGAGUUUUAACCUAGUGUUCAUGUGGCCCGCCCUUGGUUUUAUUGUUCUUUUGAUCUUGUUUAAUGUAGUGUAUAUUUUCUUUUAUUGUUGUUGUUUUGUUGUUGUUUAAUGUGCUAUGAUUUGUUGUUCUAUUAUAUUUUGUUAUAUUGUAUUGUUCUGGGCAUGGCCCCAUGUAAGCCGCCCCGAGUCCCCGUUGGGGAGAUGGUGGCGGGGUAUAAAUAAAGAUUAUUAUUAUUAUUAUUAUUAUUAUUAUUAUUAUUAUUAUUAUUACGAUGCUCUAAUAUACAUAUUGUGUACUACUUAUGUUUUGAACCAUUGUUGUGUUUUAUAUAGCUCAUUACAUCCUGCAUUUCUGACAAUUCAGAGCCUUCAACAUUUUCUUGAUCAGCCUGCAUUUCUGACAAUUCAGAGCCUUCAAUAUUUCCUUGGUCAACCUGCAUAAACCCAAAUCCCCCUUCAUCAUCAGACUGAACCACAACAAUGCCUGCCAUAGAUGUGGGUGAAACGUCAGGAGAGAAUACUUCUGGAACAUGGCCAUACAGUCCCGAAAACACCCAACAGCCCUGUGAUUUUGGCCAUGAAAGCCUUCGACAACACAACUUGGGUGAGUUCAUCUCAAACAGGGAAACAAACCAUGUUCCAUCCCAACUCUAUGCAAGAGAACCCAAAGGUGCACUGACCUGAAGAUUAGCAUUGGGGCACGCACUGCUAAUCGACGGCUACAAUGACUCGACAUUGCCUGAUGAAGCAAUAUCAUUUUAUACAACAAGCAAUAACGGCCCCAAAGAAUAAUCAGUCUGCUUAUUGAUUUUGGCUUGUUUAGUGUUACUGUGCCUAAUCAAUAAACCCCCAAAGUAUCUCAUCGUAAUGGCUGCUUUGCUUUGCCCUCUCCAGUAGCUUUUCAACUGCCCAGAAAGUGGGAUCGAUACACUGAAAAACCUCUUCCAUACUCAUUCUUAUGAAAUGUUUGUAUUUCUCCAUGUGAGUUUUAUGCUGGCAAAUGGCUUUUCCAAUACAUCGAGGGCUCGACUUACUUUUUCUUUAUUCUGUAGUGCUGCCUAUUGCAAUGCAACCAUCACACAAUCACCAGAGCCUCUUGAGGCUUCUUUGAAGGUCACCGGCGAAUUGACGGAAGGCGGUUCAUCCACCUUUCGAGUUAAGCCCUGAAGAUACAAUAAACUUAGGGGUUACAAAUGGCCCACUAGGAAACAUGGUUGCAGGGUUGUGAUGGAUGAUCCCAUUCUUACCUGCUAAGGACUUCUUUAUCAGUGGUUAAAGAUGUCUUGGUAGGUAAAGGUAAAGGUUUCCUCUGACGUGAAGUCCGGUCAUGUCCGACUCUGGGGGUUGGUGCUCAUGUCCAUUUCUAAGCCGGGCUGUGGCGCAGGCUGGUGAGCAGCCUGCUGCAAUAAAUCACACUGACCAUGAGGUCAUGAGUUCGAGGCCAGCCCGUGGCGGGGUGAGCACCCGUCAAUUAAAAAUAAAAAAAAUAGCCCCUGCUCGUUUAUUUUAUUUAUUUAUUUAUUUUAUUUAUUUCCAAUAUUUCUACCCCGCCCUUCUCCCCGAGGGGACUCAGGGCGGCUUACACAACUGGCAGGAUCCAUACCAGUAUAUCAAAAUACAAUAAAAUAAUACAACAGUUAAAAUACUUAAAUAACAUAAGCAGCCUGCUGCAAUAAAUCACUCUGACCAUGAGGUCAUGAGUUCGAGGCCAGCCCGUGGCGGGGUGAGCACCCGUCAAUUAAAAAUAAAAAAAUAGCCUUUGCUCGUUUAUUUUAUUUAUUUAUUUAUUUAUUUUAUUUUAUUUCCAAUAUUUCUACCCCGCCCUUCUCCCCGAGGGGACUCAGGGCGGCUUACACAACUGGCAGGAUCAAUACCAGUAUAUCAAAAUAAAAUAAUACAACAGUUAAAAUACUUAAAUAACAUAAGCAGCCUGCUGCAAUAAAUCACUCUGACCAUGAGGUCAUGAGUUCGAGGCCAGCCCGUGGCGGGGUGAGCACCCGUCAAUUAAAAAUAAAAAAAUAGCCCCUGCUCGUUUAUUUUAUUUAUUUAUUUAUUUAUUUAUUUUAUUUCCAAUAUUUCUACCCCGCCCUUCUCCCCGAGGGGACUCAGGGUGGCUUACACAACUGGCAGGAUCAAUACCAGUAUAUCAACAUACAAUAAAAUAAUACAACAGUUAAAAUACUUAAAUAACAUAAGCAGCCUGCUGCAAUAAAUCACUCUGACCAUGAGGUCAUGAGUUCGAGGCCAGCCCGUGGCGGGGUGAGCACCCGUCAAUUAAAAAUAAAAAAAUAGCCCCUGCUCGUUUAUUUUAUUUAUUUAUUUAUUUAUUUAUUUUAUUUCCAAUAUUUCUACCCCGCUCUUCUCCCCGAGGGGACUCAGGGUGGCUUACACAACUGGCAGGAUCAAUACCAGUAUAUCAACAUACAAUAAAAUAAUACAACAGUUAAAAUACUUAAAUAACAUAAGCAGCCUGCUGCAAUAAAUCACUCUGACCAUGAGGUCAUGAGUUCGAGGCCAGCCCGUGGCGGGGUGAGCACCCGUCAAUUAAAAAUAAAAAAAAUAGCCCCUGCUCGUUUAUUUUAUUUAUUUAUUUAUUUAUUUAUUUAUUUAUUUUAUUUCCAAUAUUUCUACCCCGCCCUUCUCCCCGAGGGGACUCAGGGUGGCUUACACAACUGGCAGGAUCAAUACCAGUAUAUCAAAAUACAAUAAAAUAAUACAACAGUUAAAAUACUUAAAUAACAUAAUAAAAUACAAUAUAUAAAAGAUUUAACACAGUGCAACACUGAACAUAUAUGCCAGUCAUCCAUCAGACCUUGUGCAAGAGCCUUAAUCCAAUCAGUGUCAACGCUGAGUUCAUUAUUAAAAUAUUUAUAUGUUGACCUAUAUCUAGAGAUCUCAGAGCGGCAUACAGUAAAAUCACUUUGAAAAAAGAAAGAACUGUUGGAGGCAAGUGUGAAUCUUGCAAUUAUUAUUAUUAUUAUUAUUAUUAUUAUUAUUAUUAUUAUUAUUAUUAUUAGCAACAUUUAUAUCCCGCCCUUCUCGCCCCAAAGGGGACUCAGGGCGGCUUACAAGUCAUAUGUACAUACAAGAUAUUAUAUUAUUCGUUUAGCACAAUAUAAGCAUUAUAUAUUGCUAUAUUGUGCUAUAACACCAUAUUGUAAUAUUAUUAGUAAUAUUACAUGUAAUAUAUAUAUAUAUAUAUAUAUAUCAUUAUAUUAGUUUAUUAUUAUUAUUAUUAUUAUUAUUAUUAUUAUUAUUAUUAUUAUUAGCAGCAGCAGCAGCAGCAGCAGCAGCAGCAGCAUUUAUAUCCUGCCCUUCUCACCCCAAAGGGGACUCAGGACAGCUUACAAGUUAUAUAUACAUACAAUAUAUUAUAUUAUUGGUAUAUCACAAUAUAAGCAUUAUAUAUUGCUAUAUUGUGCUAUACCACUAUAUUGUAAUAUUACUAGUAAUAUUACACGUAAUAUAAAAAUACCAUUAUAAUAGUGUAUUAUUAUUAUUAUUAUUAUUAUUAUUAUUAUUAUUAUUAUUAUUAUUAUUAUUAGCCACCUUGAUUAAUAUUGAAUAGCCUUGCAGCUUCAAAGCCUGGCUUCUUACUGAUUGGGGGAAAAUCUUUUGUUGGGUGGUGUUAGCUGGCCCUGAUUGUUUCCUGUCUGGAAUUCCCCAUUUUUUUAAGUAGUGCUCUUUAUUUACUGCCCUGAUUUUAGAACCAUGAAAAUGAAAAAAAUAAUCUGGCUACACAGUAUUUAAAAAACUCUAAAAUCAGGACAGUAAAUAACUAACAACACUCAGAAAACAGGAGAUUUCCAGACAGGAAACAAUCAGGGCCAGCUAACACCUCCUAGCAAAGGAUUCCCCCAGGCAAGAAGCAGACAGGCUUUGAGGCUGCAAGGCUAUUCAAUGCUAAUCAAGGUGGCCAAUUGCAAUAUUCAAACUUGCCUCCAACAGACAAGAGUUCUUUCUACCAUCCUAGACAUUCCACAGAUAUAUAAACCCCAUUUGCCUAGUUUCCAACAGACCUCACAACCCCUGAGGAUGCCUGCCAUAGAUGUGGGUGAAAUGUCAGGAGAGAAUGCUUCUGGAACAUGGCCAUACAGACUGCAAAACUCACAGUAGCUCAGCGAUUCUGAUUUUGAAAGCCUUCGACAACAUAUUAUAUGAUUUAUUGUGAUUAUAGUGGUUGUGCCUUCAAGUCAUUUCCAAGCUAUGAUAAUUUUAGGAUGAACCUAUCACAGGUUUUUCUUGGCAAGCUUUGGUCAAUAUUCCAGGUCUAUCUGCUCCCUUCACCCAUCAACCAAAAGAAAGUAUUUUUCUGUGUUAGAAGAAAGUUUGUUUCAGCUGCAAUCAACUGUCAGACCGUAGAAUUGCCAAAAUCAAAACGAUAACUUGUAUUAGGAAGAGAUGACGACGUUGUUCUUGCCUCUGCUGGUCUGGGGAAAAAAAUAAAGAGAUGCUAAAAAAAGAAAUGUGCUUUAGGGCCGUGCACUGGCCUUUCUGAGAUUAAAAAGAUGCAUAAAUUGAUCUCGGCAUGCUCCGUGAGCAGUGGAUCGCCCUUUCUGAUCUCGGAAGACCCGGAGGACGAGUGUCAUCAGAAUAAAAAAGGCUUCACUUAAGUGAAAUAAGUUCCCAUCAGGCCAUUUCAAGGGAAGAAUUUAGGGCUGAGUCACACAGGUACGUCCAUCAGCCAAGAAUAUAUUUAUUUACAGUAUUUAUAUUCCACCCUUCUCACUCCGAAAAAGAGUUAGGGCGGAUUACAAUGCACAUAUACAUGGCAAGCAUUCAGUGCCAUUAUUAGACAAACGACAUAUAGACAGACACAGAGGCAAUUUAUCAUUUUCCAGCUUCUGGCUUCAUGAGGGUAUUCUCAAUUCCGGCCACAGGGGGAGCUGCCAUGUCAUCCACUUGUGACACCGAGUCCUUGAUGGUAGUACUUCCUCAUUCUUCUGCACGCUGCUGGCAGUUUUAUGGAGUUAAAUUAGCCUGCCAUGUCAUCUUCUACUUGUGACACCGAGUCCUUGAUGGUAGUACUUCCUCAUUCUUCUGCACGCUGCUGGCAGUUUUAUGGAGUUAAAUUAGCCUGCCAUGUCAUCUUCCACUUGUGACACCGAGUCCUUGAUGGUAGUACUUCCUCAUUCUUCUGCAUUCUGCUGGCAGUUUUAUGGAGUUAAAUUAGCCUGCCAUGUCAUCUUCUACUUGUGACACCGAGUCCUUGAUGGUAGUACUUCCUCAUUCUUCUGCACGCUGCUGGCAGUUUUAUGGAGUUAAAUUAGCCUGCCAUGUCAUCUUCCACUUGUGACACCGAGUCCUUGAUGGUAGUACUUCCUCAUUCUUCUGCACGCUGCUGGCAGUUUUAUGGAGUUAAAUUAGCCUGCCGUGUCAUCAUCCACUUGUGACACCGAGUCCUUGAUGGUAGUACUUCCUCAUUCUUCUGCACACUGCUGGCAGUUUUAUGGAGUUAAAUUAGCCUGCCAUGUCAUCAUCCACUUGUGACACCGAGUCCUUGAUGGUAGUACUUCCUCAUUCUUCUGCACGCUGCUGGCAGUUUUAUGGAGUUAAAUUAGCCUGCCAUGUCAUCUUCCACUUGUGACACCGAGUCCUUGAUGGUAGUACUUCCUCAUUCUUCUGCACACUGCUGGCAGUUUUGUGGAGUUAAAUUAGCCUGCCAUGUCAUCAUCCACUUGUGACACCGAGUCCUUGAUGGUAGUACUUCCUCAUUCUUCUGCACGCUGCUGGCAGUUUUAUGGAGUUAAAUUAGCCUGCCGUGUCAUCAUCCACUUGUGACACCGAGUCCUUGAUGGUAGUACUUCCUCAUUCUUCUGCACACUGCUGGCAGUUUUAUGGAGUUAAAUUAGCCUGCCAUGUCAUCAUCCACUUGUGACACCGAGUCCUUGAUGGUAGUACUUCCUCAUUCUUCUGCACGCUGCUGGCAAUUUUAUGUAGUUAAAUUAGCCUCCCCACAUAAAGCGGUACCUAGAAUUUUCUACUCAACAGAUGCAACUGUUUUUUGAGUUACUUAGGUGGGCAGAGAGCUAGGACUAUUAACGGUCGGGAGCUCAAUCCGACCUGGGUUUUGAUCCCAUGACCUCUCAAUCAGUAGUGAUUUCUUGCAGCUGGCUACUAACCAGCUGCACCACAGCCCCGCCCAUCAAUUGCAACAUCAAGGAUGUUUGGCAUGUAUGCAAAUUACGCUAUUUAUUUAUUACAGUAUUUCUACCUUCUCAAAGAACAGGGGAUUCAGAGCGUUAGCUGUUGUGGUGGAUGCAAAAGCAACUCAAUACAUCGUCCCAAUGGAUGUUGAGCAUAUCUUUGCUAGAUGAGAAGUUUCAUUGUCAUCUCCUGUAGCUUCUUCUGUCAGGUCUGCAGUAGAGUUGGAAAGAAUCUCUGCAAUUAUUCAUACCUCAGCCAAGAAAUCCUGACAGUUGGGCAACCCCAUCAGAAAGCAUUGCCAUUUCUCCUAGUAUUGGAUAUUCCGAAGUGUUCGGAAAUUAUUCUGCCGAAGGGAAAUAACUGUCUUUUGCCCACGAAAAAAAAAUCCACAUGGCUUUUUUGUGCAUAGAACAGGUCCUGAUUAGCACUUCGGCGCAGCCAAAUACAGCGAGAAUCCUAUGGAGGGAUAUUCGUUUUCUCCCGCAGCAAAGAUGAAAGAGUCAAGGAUUUACAUAUUUAGUCUUCAGGGUGCCAUGUCCUGGAAAGGAUGAUGUGAAGGAGGCAAAGAAAGGCAGGCGAGGCAUGGAUCUGAGCCACCACCUUCAAAACAGAGACCAAGGAAAAGUCUGUAAUAGGCCUUUCAGCACCACGGAAAGAUCAGAGGGAGCUACACUGUUCCAACAGGUUCUCAGCUUCUGACUGAGUCCCAUCAAUAGACUUCAACUGAGUUUCACUUGAGCGUAGGACAGCGUUUCUCAACCUUGGGGUCGGGUGCGAGAGGGGUUUAGAGGACUCACCAAAGACCAGUUUUUUUCUAUUGGUCAUUGGGGUUCUGUGUGGGAAGUUUGGCCCAAUCCUAUCAUUGGUAGGGUUCAGGGACUCUUUGAUUGUAGGUGAACUAUAAAUCCCAGCAACUACAACUCCCAAAUGUCAAAGUCUAUUUUCCCCCAAACUCCAUCAGAGUUCAUAUUUGGGCAUAUUGAGUAUUGCUGCCAAGUUUGUUCCAGAUCCAUCGCUGUUUGACUCCAUAGUGCUCUCUGGUUGUAGGGGAACUAAAAGUCCAAAACUCAAGGUCAGUGCCCACCAAACCUUUCUCAAGUUGCUCCUGAUACGAAAAAAACCUAAAAAAAAAACCAAACCCAUGAAAUGUUCACCUAAGGAUCACCAUAAAUUGGAAAUGCUUUGUAGGCACAUAGCAAUCCAGUGCACUGUAUCUAAUUGGAUAAAGCGACCCGGUACACACACAUACACUCCAAACACAAACGUGCUCAUAUUAGCCAUUAACAUUUGAAAAUAUGCACCUUGUUUUCAGUGCAUAUGGUUUCGGCAGAACACUCAGUAAGCCUCCCAAAUGAGUGAACACUUCUGAAGAGAUGGAUUUCUUCUCUCAAGAACUUUCAGGAGGUGUGGGACUGCUGAAUCCAAGAACUUUGUUUCCAUUCUUAUGUCCUGAAGCUCCUAUGGCAGUGGUUCUCCACCUUCCUAAAGCCGUGACCUCCUAGAUCAGGGGUCCCCAAACUUUUUAAACAGGGGGCCAGUUCACGAUCCUUCGGACCGUAGGAGGGCCAGACUAUAGUUGGCCACCGAGCAAUAAUUAAUAAUAGUAUUAAUAAUAGUAUUAAUAAUAACAACAACAAUAAUAAUAAAAAAGAGGGUUGGAAGAGACCCUUUGGGUCAUUGAGUCCAACCCCCUUCUGCCUUUGUGCACCGAAAGCACAAGCAAAGCACCCCUGACAGAUGGCCGCCCAGCCUCAAUGUUAAUAAUAAUAAUAUAACAAUAAUAAUAAUAAUAAUAAUAAGGAGCAAGCCAUCAGAACAAAUGCAAUCAAGGCCAAGAUCGAAAAAUCAGCUGAUGACCCAAAAUGCAGACUGUGCAAGGAAACCGAUGAAACCAUUGAUCAUAUCCUCAGCUGCUGUAAGAAAAUUGCACAGACAGACUACAAACAGAGGCACAACUAUGUGGCCCAAAUGAUUCAUUGGAACCUAUGCCUCAAGUAUCACCUCCCUGCAGUUAAGAACUGGUGGGAUCACAAACCUGCAAAGGUUGUGGAAAAUGAACACGCAAAGAUACUGUGGGACUUCCGAAUCCAGACUGACAAAGUUCUGGAACACAACACACCAGACAUCACAGUUGUGGAAAAGAAAAAGGUUUGGAUCAUUGAUGUUGCCAUCCCAGGUGACAGUCGCAUUGAAGAAAAACAACAGGAAAAACUCAGCCGCUAUCAGGACCUCAAGAUUGAACUUCAAAGACUCUGGCAGAAACCAGUGCAGGUGGUCCCAGUGGUGAGGGGCACACUGGGUGCCGUGCCAAAAGAUCUCAGCCGGCAUUUGGAGAGAAUAGACAUUGACAAAAUUACGAUCUGCCAACUGCAAAAGGCCACCUUACUGGGAUCUGCACGCAUCAUCCGAAAAUACAUCACACAGUCCUAGCCACUUGGGAAGUGUUCGACUUGUGAUUUUGUGAAACGAAAUCCAGCAUAUCUAUCUUGUUUGCUGUGUCAUACAAUGUCGUUGUGUCAAUAAUAAUAAUAAUAAGGUUGGAAGAGACCCCUUGGGCCAUUGAGUCCAAUCCCCUUCUGCCUCUGUGCACCAAAAGCACAAGCAAAGUAUCCCUGACAGAUGGCCACCCAGCCUCAAUAUUAAUAAUAAUAAUAAUAAUAAUAAUAAUAAUAAUAAUAAUAAUAAUAAUAAUAAUAAUAAUGGUUGUAAGAGAAGAAGAGACCCCUUGGGUCAUUUAGCCCAACCCCCUUCUGCCCUUGUGCUGUGGGGGCCGGAUAAAUGGCUUCGAUGGGCCGCAUCCGGCCCCCGGGCCUUAGUUUGGGGACCCCUGUCCUAGAUCAUGUGGCCAGCAUGACUGUAUGGAGUGCUGUUACCUUCCCGCAGAAGCGGUACCUAUUGAUCUACUCAUAUUUGCAUGUUUUUGAACUGCUAGGUUGGCAAAAGCUGAAGCUAAUAGCAGGAGCUCAAUCCAUUCCCCAGAUUCAAACUGUCAGUGUUUUGGUCAGCAAGUUCAGCAGCUCAGCGGUUUAAUACACUGCACCACCGGAGCUCCUGCCAUUCUACAGCUAUCUAUAUAUAUAAAAGAGUGAUGGCAUCACGGCGACCGACAAAACAACAAAACUACAGGCCCCCCAACCUCUAAAUUUGACAACACAACCCAUCAUCCACGGCUCUAGGUUGAUACAACAAAAAGAAAAGAAAAAUAAAGUCCUAAUUAGAGGGAGAGGAAUAAUUGCUUUUAUCCAAUUGCUGCCAGUUAGAAGGCUAAGCUCCUCCAACUUAGUCUCCUAGCAACCCAAUAAAAAGAAUUUAAAACACUAAAAAUUAAUACAAUAAAAUAAUAUAAUAACAGAAAAUAACUAAAAAUAAUAAAGGAAAAUAAUAAAAUAUAAUAAAUAAAAAGAUAACUUACAAUAAAAUUAAUUUUAAAAAAUACAAAUAACAUCAAAUAAAAAUUACACAACAAUUUUUAACCAAUACCACCACCACUUUGCCACAGCAACGCGUGGCCGGGCACAGCUAGUCUUCUAUAUAAACAACUUUUAGUGGCACUUCUUAUACAAGCUACAAACGAAGGGAAUUAUGGUGUUGUAUUUGGCUAGAAACAGUGGUAGAUCAUAGCCCCGUCCCUAUGGAAUCUCUUAUGUUUAGUAGUGCUAUAUAUUGCAAUGAAUACGUUACUCAAGGUAUCCACUAUUUGUGUUCUCAUUGUGUUGUCGAGGGCUUUCAUGGCCGGAAUCACAGGGUUGUUGUAUGUCUUUCGGGCUGUGUAGCCGUGUUCCAGAAGUAUUCUCUCCUGACGUUUCGCCCACAUCUAUGGCAGGCAUCCUCAGAGGUUGUGAGGUAUGGAUAAACUAAGUAAGGAAAGGAAAGAAUAUAUAUCUGUGUAGAGUCCAGGGUGUGGCAAGAGUCCUUUGUCACUGGGAAGCCAGCAUUAAUGUUUCAGUUAAUCACCCUAAUUAGCAUUGGAAAGGUUUUGUCUCUUGCCUGGGGGCAUCCUUUGUUCAGUCAUUAAAAAACUCUAAAAUCAAAACAGUAGAUGGGAACCAACACUCUGAGGGCAGAGGACAGCUAAUGACUGAACAAAGGAUGCCCCCAGGCAAGAGACAAAACCUUUCCAAUGCUGAGUUUUUCCUGUUGUUUUUCGUCAAUGCGACUGUCACCUGGGAUGGCAACACCAAUGAUCCAAACCUUUUUCUUUUCCACAACUGUGAUGUCUGGUGUGUUGUGUUCCAGAACUUUGUCAGUCUGGAUUCGGAAGUCCCACAGUGUCUUUGUGUGCUCAUUUUCCAAUACUUUUGCAGGUUUGUGAUCCCACCAGUUCUUUGCUCCUGGGAGGUGGUACUUGAGGCAUAAGUUCCAAUGAAUCAUUUGGGCUACAUAGUUGUGCCUCUGUUUGUAGUCUGUCUAUGCGAUUUUCUUACAGCAGCUGAGGAUAUGAUCAAUGGUUUCGUCGGUUUCCUUGCACAGUCUGCAUUUUGGGUCAUCAGCUGAUUUUUCGAUCUUGGCCUUAAUUGCAAUAAUUUGUAAUUAUUAUUAUUAUUAUUAUUAUUAUUAUUACAAAUUAUUGCAAUAUAGUGGGAACUCAUUCCACUCCCUGGAUUUGAACUGCCAACCUUUUGGUCAGCAAGCUCAGCACCUCAGCAGUUUAACCUGCUGCACCACGGAGGGCUCUGUAGUCUUUAUCAGGCAGUGCAAAUUGCAUCCAAAGGAGACUAGCCACACCUUUCAUUGCAAUCACAUUCCAGAAUACAUGGAGCAGAAGGGUUAAUGACAUAUCCCAUCCUCCCUCCCCAUCUUCAACUACUUUUUUGUCCAUGUGACAUAUCACAUUCAUGAGUCGAUAAUCCCCUUCCAGACAAGGCCCAUCAGGAGUGCUGCCUUCAGGCCAACAAACAGCCCACAGGCCCAUCCGUCGGCCCCGGCUCCUCUCCCGACUUAUUUAGAUUGACAUCUCCUUUUGUUGUGGAUCUGCUCCUCGCUGUUUCGGUGGACUCGGCCUGGCUGCGCUGCCUCUCUGCUUUGCCAUCUUUAGAUAAAAGUGGGCAUUUUCCCAUGUCAGUUACUGUUCCGGAGCGAAGCUGUGAGCCAGGCUCAGCACGAGAACUCUCUCCUGCCAGGGCUGUUCCAUCUUCACGAGGGUCUUCCUUUGUUAGUCAGCAGCAAAAAAAUAAAAGAGAGGAACAAGGAAAAAAAUAUAUCAGGGACGGAGAUGCAGGAAGGUCCCGUGAUUAAUUUUUCAUCUUGAACAGCCAGGAAUGUCUUUGGAAGUAGAUCUUUUAGAGACCUCACAUCAUAAAAAAUAGGCUCUUACUCAUUUCAGUUCCUCCUCUCCUCCCAUUGUUGGCUGUUGCAAAGAUACCAUCUGGUGCAAACCUUGAGUGGCUCCUCCUUGUCCCAUCCUUCCUUCCAACUGCACUUGACCUUCAACUUUGUCCUUCGUGUUACGGGGUUUACGGCGAAACGCGAUUAUGUUUUAUUGCAAAAAUGGAGGGCCAGGCGAUGCGUUUUCUCCCCAGCAUUUGCCUCAUCCCAAGUGUCGCAUUCAUGUUCUUGCCGUGCUUUGAUCUAAAUAAAUAUCCAAGCAGGGAGACUCAUCGGGGACCCGCGAGGAAUAAUAAAGAAAAAUAAUGUGCCAUUGAUUUUGCUUGGGGUGUCUAAAUGCGUUUUUAUGAUUGUAUAUGUUUAUGGCUUUCCCACUGUAAUGUCAUGAAUUCCAGGCAAUUAAAAAGGACAUGAAUUCCAAAGCAUUUAACCAGGGGAAAUCUGCCUUCCAAACGCAGUGUAUUAAAAGUUGCAAUAAUUUUGGAGAGCUUGGAACUGCGGCAGAAGCUAACGGUUGUUGCUUUGGUUCCUGGUUAAAAAAAAUAAAAAGUAUGUGGUUUGGAAACGAACUUGAAAAAACAUGAAGAUCAAGGCAGAUCCUCCUGCAAAUGGAGAAAGGCAUUGCAGACUAACUCAACCAGAGAAGUCAGCCAUAGCAGAGCCAACCUGGACACAGUAUAUUAUUUGAGAACACAAAAAUGCUUGACCACCCUAACAACUACCACGUCAGACUACACAGAGAAGCCAUUGAAAUUCACAAGCAUCUGGACAAUUUUAACAGAAAGGAGGAAAGCAUGAAAAUGAACAAAAUCUGGCUACCAGUAUUUAAAAAGAACCCUAAAAUCAGGACAGUAAAUAAAGAACAACAUUCUGAAAACAGGGGAAUUACAGACAAGAAACAAUCAGGGCCAGUUAACACAUCCUAACAAAGGAUUCCCCCAGGCAGGAAACAGCCUAGUUUCCAACACUGCACAGCUUCUGAGGAUGCCUGCCGUAGAUGUGAGCAAAAUGUCAGGAGAGAAUGCUUCUGGAACAUACAGCCCUGAUAUGGUGGUGGUCUGACAUGGUGGUGGUUGUGAGAGUGGUCCAGCAUUUCUGUGUUCUCAAAUAAUAUACUGUGUCCAGGUUAGUUCAUCAAGUGCUCUGCUAUGGCUGACAGACUACGCAGCAAAUGAAGAACAACACUCAGAAAACAGGGGAAUUCCAGGCAGGAACAAUCAGGGCCAGCUAACACCUCCAAACAACGAAUUCCCCCAGGCAGGAAGGAGCCAGGCUUUGAAACUGCAAGGCCUUUCAGUGCUAAUCAAGCUGGCCAAUUGCAACAUUCACAUUUGCCUCCAACAGUCACCCAUGACAUUAUUCCACGGAUAUAUAAACCCCAAUUGCCUAGUUUCCAACAGACCCUACAACCUCUGAGGAUGCCUGCCAUAGAUGUGGGUGAAACAUCAGGAGAGAAUGCUUCUGGAACAUGACUGUACAGCCUGGAAGACUCACAGCAACCCACUUAUCAGAAAGAUCUAUCCUUUUUUCAUCUAUCACUGAAGAAGAGCCAUAUCACCUGAUACAGAGCUCACUUUUACAAAGUUUUAGAAAGUUUCUGAAGUUUGCCUUAAAAAGACUUCCAAGUAGAUUAUGUAAGAAUUUUCCUUUUGUUGAAAAAAAAAAACAUGCCAAUGAAGACAAAAAGAUAGACCCCCUGUUUUUUUUUUCUUUGAGUGAUACUGUUUUGUCAGUGUGGAUCCCAUCUAAAAAUGUGAGGAGGCCCUUUCCAAUUGUGUGAUAAAAAUAAAGCUAAAUAAUGAAGAUAUCUUCGUGAUAUCGACUGAAUGGCUUCUGCCCUCUAAGUCGGACAUCAAACCCUGCUUGAAAAGUCCACCGGUGCCAUUGGAUGAUGUUUGCUAUAGACUCACCAGGUUGGAGAAACAACUGCAGUCUACCGCUGUGUUUCUUUAAUGCCGCCUCUGUUGUUUUGCUCUCUCUAUCGAGAAGGAUGGAUUUAAUUAGCUGAUGCCCAUUGCACUUGACUUUUCUAGGCAAAUGCCCCAUACAAUGAAUAGUUUCAAGAAAACAUUAAGACGAGACGGUGUGUAAAGGCUUGUCCGUGUGAUGGAAUACAAUGCACUCAUUGUCUACUGAGCAUCUCUGAUAUGCAAUGGGAAAGAAGACUUGCAAAUUAUACAGUUAGAAGUUGAAAAUGUUUAAAAAUUCCAGGUUGACACAACACACACAUACAUAUAAGUAGUCAUAUGCCAAUGAUGGGCAACCUUUUGCACUUGGUGUGUCAAAAUUCACCAAAAAACCUAGCAUGACUUGGGUGGUGUGUCACUUCGAGAGAAAGACCAUAAUUUCACAAUAUAUAUAGUUUAAAUAACAAAAAUUUAUAACUGUAAUAUAUAACUGUAUUUAAUAAAUCAAAAACUAUUUACUACCAUUAUUUCCAUGUUCAACAAUCUAUGGUACCUCUUGCAGUUUCCAUGCUGAUUUCUCUUUAUUGUAGUUUCAAUGUAGUCAUGAAUAAUGAAUAAUAUAAUAAUAAUAUAAUAGUGGCGCAGCUGGCUAGUAACCAGCUACUAUAAAUCACUACUGACCGAGAGGUCAUGAGUUCGAAGCCCGGGUCGGGUUAAGCCUCCGACCAUUAAUAGCCCCGGCUUGCUGUUGACCUAUGCAGCCCCGAAAGACAGUUGCAUCUGUCAAUUAGGGAAAUUUAGGGACGCUUUAUGCGGGAGGCUAAUUUACAACACUAUAAAACUGCCAGCAAAACACGACAAAAGGAAUGAGGAAAUACAGCCACUACUGGAUGGUGAAGCAACAGCUCCCCCUGUGGCCGGAAUCGUGAAGCUGGAAAAAUGUUAAAAAUGCCUCUGAGUCUGUCUAAUGUAUGUUGUUUGUCUGUUGGCAUUGAAUGUUUGCCAUAUAUGUGUUCAUUGUAAUCCGCCCUGAGUCCCCUUCAGGAUGAGAAGGGCGGAAUAUAAAUACUGUAAAUAAAUAAAUAAAUAAAUAAAUACAAUAAUAAUAGAAUAAUAAUAGAAUGAUUAUAUAUGUGUGUGUGUGUGUGUGUGUGUGUGUGUGUGUAAUGUGCAUAAUUCCCAUGGAGUAAACAACAAAACCGCUGGACCAAAUCACACCAAAUUUGGCCACAAAAGACAUAGUCAUCCAAUAAAUCUGCACGCGACAGCGUGUCAGCAAAAAUGGCUAGGCGUGUCAGUGCUGACAUGUGUGUUAUAGGUUGGCCAUCACUGUCAUAUGCAAACCACAAUCUUUAAUCCAUUGCUGCACUUCCCAUUCCGAUGUCAGUGGCACAAUAAAUGUGCCUCUGGUUUUAGCCGAAACAACGAAGGAACUAUCCGAGGUGCUAAAACUUUUUUAUUGGUUAAUGUUCAGCACACUGGAUAGCUCCUUUAAAGUCUAAUCUAAUCAAAUCCAUAAUUAAUGAUGUUUUGUAUCUCAAAAACUAGAGCUGAUAGGGGAAAAUUGGUACAAUUUUUUUGAAUCAGCAUCUGGUCGCACCCAGAGAUAAGGCUAACUAACUGUAUGUUGGCUGGUGUAAUCCAAUCCACCAAAGUCAAACUCGAAAAUCAGGAAUGAAUCGUUUUAGCAAAAGUAAACUUUUGAUUUCGGCAACUAAUAUAAAAACAUCCUCAUGAGCCAAUGCAAGCUGGGGGGGGGGGGGGGGUCACAAGUUGGGUUUAAGAAGGGUCGCCAAAAACCAUCAAAAACACUUAGUUCUGAUGGUCUUAGGAACCCAAAUCACUUAUCCAACAUAAACAUGACCCUUUACCUUAACUACCACCAAUUCCUCAAUACUUUAUUUCCCAUACCACCAGACUUCACCACAGCAACACGUGGCAGGGCACAGCUAGUGUACCAUAUAUUCUCGAGUAUAAGCUGACCCAAAUAUAAACCAACCAGGACCCUCACCCGAGUAUAUGCCGAGGGGGGCUUUUUCAGUCUUAAAAAAAGGGCUGAAAAACUAGGCUCAUAUUCAAGUAUAUACAGUAAGUUCCUCAUGUUGUGGGGUCACAGCAUUCGGAAGGCUGAGAACCACUGCUCUAAGCCAUGGCUACCACAAGGGAAAAAGUGGGGAGAAAGUUGGAGCUAAACUGUCUUUCUAAAUCCCAGGAGGCUCAUUGAGCUGUCAUGUUGGAGGAACGACAUCCCCUGUCAGAACAAUCAAAGCUGAAUCCCAAAGAUGCCUUGAAGGAGGAGGAGAUAGAUUUCGCCUGCCAUACUGCAAACUGGUGCAGGGAAGCUAGAGGGAGAUUUAAUGCAAGCCCAAAGCUUUGCUGGUGGUUGUUACACCACGUUCUGAAAGCAGCCUUCUCCAAUCUGGUUGCCCUUUGGAUGUGCUGAACGAUCGGCCCAGUCACUUCCCAACAGCAAGGCCACUGGCUUGGUGAAGUGACGGAAGUUGUAGGGUUGACAUGUGUGGAGAUGUCAGGCAGAGAGGAUUUUUUUCUUUAUUCUCUUAUUCUUUCUUAUUCUUAUUCACAUUGGAUGGUAGCGUUACUUAGUUUUGAAUAUAGGUGACAGAGACUUGGAUAUUGAAGAACCAAAAACAAGUUUAUUUCAGGCACAGAGUUUAGUGGUUACAGUAACUUCUUUAAAGGCACUUAGAUAAUGGUUGCAAAGUUAUUAACUGAUCACUUUGGAUCUAACUGGGAUUGCUUUCCCUUCCUACUCAGACUAUACAAAUAAACCUAAACAAGUCACCUAACUGGCUUAAUUUAACACCACUAGAGAUCUGAGUUCCCUUGGUUUCCCUAACCUGGAACCAGUGUCUUCCCUGUGACUAGAAUCACAGACUAAACUGUUUUUUAAAACAUUCCCUCCUUUUCCUUCAAAUGGCGGUUGGCUCCGCCCUCGUUACUAUGGCAACCUGCCUCAGAAUGCUGAGCUGGUUACCAUCCCCCACGCAAAGCAUCACCCUCCUCCACUUUUAAACAUAGUUAAACCUGACUUUUAAAACAAAAUUAAACAUGACAUCUAUAAAUCAAAAUAAAAACACACUUCUUUACAACAUGCUAUAUAGCUCUGGACAUCUAAAGCAUGUGAGGUUGCUCAAAAUUGCCCUAAACAAGCUGAUAUUUCUAUGGCACAGUCUCAUAGUUCCUUUCCAAAAUGUUCCGCUAAAGCUUGGAAUGGUUAGUGGGAAUAUGCUGCUUCUUUGCAGAGAUGGAAUCAAAUCCAAAGAUUCAAGGAGCCAUGUUCGGGCACUCUUGUUUGCUGUGUCAUAAUAAAAUAAUAAUAAUAAUAAUAAUAAUAAUAAUAAUAAUAAUAAUAAUAAUAAUAAUAAUAUGCCGUGCAAAAAGAUCUCAGCUGGCAUUUGGAAACAAUAGACAUUGAUAAAAUUACGAUCUGUCAACUGCAAAAGGCCACCCUACUGGGAUCUGCACGCAUCAUCCGAAAAUACAUCACACAGUCCUAGACACUUGGGAAGUGUUCGACUUGUGAUUUUGUGAUACGAAAUCCAGCAUAUCUAUCUUGUUUGCUGUGUCAUUAAUAAUAAUAAUAAUAAUAAUAAUAAUAAUAAUAAUAAUAAUAAUAAUAAUAAUAAUAAUUUAUAUACUGUCCUAUCUCCUCAGGGGACUCAGGGCAGUUUCCAACAUGAUAAAAACAAUGCAAUACAAUACAAUACACAUAAUAAACAGAACCAUACAACUAUUUAAAAUAAUACAAAUGGUAAACAUAAAUACACAAUGUAUGAUCCAAAGAAUGAAAAAUAAAACUAGUAACAAAACUCCCUUUACACAACAACAACAAAGCCUACGCACACACAAAUGGAUGUCCUAUUUGUUAAUAAGCAGUUAGCUUAACAUUGUUGAAUGCAAGAGAGAGUUCCUUUCUAUUACUUUUAUUCUCAGUCCCAAGCACCAAAAUGAGCAUUGCGAAUGUAAGGAGUAUUGUUAAUUCUUUUUACGCAAGAUAAUCUCCCAGUUUGAGAUAAGCGACCUCCCUCCGAAAAAAAGGGAUGCUGACACCUGUCAAAACAUUUCCAGCCAAACUACAUCAACCACGGUUUAAUAUCCCUCCUUUCUGCCUUGAAAAGAUCAGUGUUAGCUAGCAAAUUACUCUAAGACAGCAACAUCAUUUCUGGAAAUGUUUCUGUUAGAUCAUGUCAAUAAAUUUCAACUUCCUUGCU